CCUUCCCUCCCUGGUGCAGAGACCCCCAGUGCCCAGGUGUCGUGGGCUGAGGAGGAGGAAGAGGAGGACUGCGUUGAGGAGGAGGAGGAGGAGCAGGAUUUGUCCCCUGAGGAAGAUACCAUCAUGGUGAUCCAGCAGCAACUCCAGGGCAGCGCUGAGGCUCUGCACAACCGCUAUUCGUGGAGCCUGGACACCAUCCUCAGGGGCCGGCUGACAGAGACCCCCACCAUGGAGAAGCUGCAGCACCUCCUGGAGCACAUCCAUCUCUCUCUCCAGUCAAAAAACACCCAGGAGAGAGCCAGGGCUGUAUAGACCAGCACAGCCCUGCUCCUGUUUGCCACCUCCCUGCCUGGAUUUGACGGCUCAACACCAGAGAGGCACCAGACCUGUGGUGCCAGGACGGGCUCCAGGACCCUGAGCGCCUGGGGUAUAGAAACCUGGCCAGGGUGGGAUAGCGGGAGGACAUUACAUCGAAGGUCAUGGCCCAGCUAUUUAACAUCAGGCGCUUGCGCCAGGUGCCCAAAGCACUGCAGGGGCUGUGCUCCGUGGGACAGCCUUGAAGGGGCCCCCCUUUGCAUGACCAGAAGCUCCCACUCCCUGCCACAGGCAGCUGUGGUCAUGGUGGAAUUGUGAAUAUCAGCCAGCCCUAUGUUGUACAGCUGAACUGGAGAGGAUUUUCCUUCACAUAUGGUUCCUGGGUAGGGAUUACUCUCUUCGGACUCUGCAGAAGGACCUAUACUGGGCUGCACCUUUGAACACGGAUGGGAGACUCUUAGAAUAUUACAGACUUCAUAAUUCCUAUGAUGAUUUGCUGCUAUUAAAAAUGCUAGAGAGUUAAAAAUUCAAUAUGGGGAAGGCAGUGGCACCACCGUUGACAAUAACUUCAUGUAUUAGAAUGUAUCUAAAUCAAGAGAUAUGGGCAAGCUCGAUUAAAACACAAACACAUUGGCUGUGAGGAAAACUCUGCCGAAUGCUACUUAUGGUAACCGUUUCUCUUAUGCUGGUGUUGAGUGGCAAGAUAUGGACUUUGCUGUGGAUGAAAGUGGAUUGUGGGUAUUUAUUCAACUGAGGACAACACAGGGAACAUUAUGAUUAGCAAACUCAAUGAGACCACAUUUGAUGUGCUCCAUACUUGGAAUACAAGGCAGUACAAGCCGUCCAUUUCCAGCGCUUUCAUCAUAUGUGGUAUUCUAUAUGCCACAAGACCUGUCCACACUCAGAAAGAGGAAAUAUUUUACACAUACGACACAAACACUGAACAGGAAGGUAAAAUUAGCAUAAUUAUGGAUAAAAUGUUAGAAACAAUUCAAAGUAUCAACUAUAACCCCUCAGACCGAGUCCUGUACGUUUACAAUGAUGGCUACCUUGUUAAAUACAAUCUUAUUUUUCAACCUGUGUUACACUGAUAUGAAUAUACACAACAACUAGAGAUCACAGAAAGUCCGAUUUUUAUAUCCCUCUGGACAAUGUGGAUGUUAAAUGAGGGCCUAUUCCUACCAAGAGUAGCUCCUGGAGAUAAGGCUUCUUACCAUGAGCUGUCCCACUGAAGGAUAAUAAGCUCUAUGCCUGGUAACAAUUGGGUGCAAGAUUAGGUUCAUAGCUUUUUAACUGGUGUUUAGCUACAAUGGCAACAGGAGCACUAGAAAUGCCUCUGCUAUAAACAUAGAUUAAAUAGAUGACUUAGUGACGGACAGAACAUGUAUCAUGAUAGAUUGCUCACAUACUGAUGUGCAUUUGGAGGAAAGUCUAUAUUUGGAUAACACAUGAAAACUGAACUGUUUUGUUGUCAUUGCUCAAAGUAUGCAAGGCCAUAAAUAUCAUAUUAAGCAUUGGCCUCAAAUAAUUACUAAAAGAUUAAAAUUAGAGGAGAAUUAGGACUUGAUCUUUAAAGAGCAGCCAUUGGUUAAGAUGAACUGUGGAAACAGUUGCCUUGGCUCCUUCUUGCAACCCAUCAAUGUAUUUUAGAUGGCAGGGCUCCAAUGCAUUACUUUCCUAAAGCUGCACUUCAUGAAAAAAACAUAUUAACUAUUUUUUGACGGUUUCAUUUUCUUAGCACUGUGUCCUGGGGGCCUGACCCAAAGCCCAAUGAAAGCAGUCCCUUGGUAUAUGGCAUAUGCUGCAGUAGAACAUAAGCUAUGCCAUCCUACAUGCUCCAUUUAGUCCUGGAGUCCAUUUAGUCUGCAAUUUACUGUGAUCUCCAUUAGCACCUUUCAAAAACCCUCUGAAAACAAGGAGCCAAAUUAAUUGCCAGUAUAAUUCCAUUGGCAUCAAUUACCUUACAUCGGGGGUGAAUCUGGCACGUGAUCUAUCAGUUACAGAAUACUGAAGUUGGGACAAAGUCAUAUGCUCUUUAUUUUUAAAAUGCCACUUACAAGAUUUUUAUCAAUAUCUGUACUGUAAUCAUGUCACAAAUGAGAUGUACAGUUAUGAAAAUGCAGUAAAUGUUUGCUGGUUUUCUU
Mauremys reevesii (Reeves's turtle) is the source of this 2459-nucleotide long non-coding RNA. RefSeq lists it as uncharacterized. The record is from RefSeq and is a predicted model, not a curated record. NCBI's taxonomy places the organism in Eukaryota, Metazoa, Chordata, Testudines, Geoemydidae. The transcript has 6 exons.